UACAGAGGGGGCAAGCGUUGUUCGGAAUUACUGGGCGUAAAGGGCGCGUAGGCGGCGUGCUAAGUCGAACGUGAAAUCCCCGGGCUCAACCCGGGAACUGCGUCCGAGACUGGCAUGCUUGAAUCCGGGAGAGGGAUGCGGAAUUCCAGGUGUAGCGGUGAAAUGCUUAGAUAUCUGGAGGAACAUCGGUGGCGAAGGCGGCAUCCUGGACCGGUAUUGACGCUGAGGCGCGAAAGCCAGGGGAGCAAACGGG
Molecule: ribosomal RNA, 253 nt
Filed under: uncultured Acidobacteriota bacterium
Lineage: Bacteria; Pseudomonadati; Acidobacteriota
Description: uncultured Acidobacteria bacterium partial 16S ribosomal RNA
Rfam family: Bacterial small subunit ribosomal RNA
Source: RNAcentral